GGAGAGAUGGCCGAGUGGUCGAAGGCGCUCGCCUGCUAAGCGAGUAGGGGGUUAUUAGCCUCCUCGAGGGUUCAAAUCCCUCUCUCUCCG
This 90-nucleotide transfer RNA is filed under the name Acidimicrobiia bacterium. RNAcentral's name for it is "tRNA-Ser". It matches the Rfam family "tRNA". Rfam says of the family: Transfer RNA (tRNA) molecules are approximately 80 nucleotides in length. Their secondary structure includes four short double-helical elements and three loops (D, anti-codon, and T loops). The record is from RNAcentral. Lineage: Bacteria; Bacillati; Actinomycetota; Acidimicrobiia.